GGCGAACGCUGGCGGCGUGCUUAACACAUGCAAGUCGUACGGUAAGGCCCUUUCGGGGGUACACGAGUGGCGAACGGGUGAGUAACACGUGAGUAACCUGCCCACAACUUUGGGAUAACGCUAGGAAACUGGUGCUAAUACUGGAUAUGUGCUCCUGCUGCAUGGUGGGGGUUGGAAAGCUCCGGCGGUUGUGGAUGGACUCGCGGCCUAUCAGCUUGUUGGUGGGGUAGUGGCCUACCAAGGCGGCGACGGGUAGCCGGCCUGAGAGGGUGACCGGCCACAGUGGGACUGGGAUACGGCCCAGACUCCUACGGGAGGCAGCAGGUGGGAAUAUUGCACAAGGGGCGCAAGCCUGAUGCAGCAACGCCGCGUGCGGGAUGACGGCCUUCGGGUUGAAAACCGCUUUCAGCAGGGACGAAGCUUUUUGUGACGGUACCUGCAGAAGAAGCACCGGCUAACUACGUG
Molecule: ribosomal RNA, 465 nt
Filed under: uncultured bacterium
Lineage: Bacteria
Description: partial 16S ribosomal RNA
Rfam family: Bacterial small subunit ribosomal RNA
Source: RNAcentral